This 460-nucleotide ribosomal RNA is filed under the name uncultured bacterium. Its description in RNAcentral is "partial 16S ribosomal RNA". It matches the Rfam family "Bacterial small subunit ribosomal RNA", at positions 338 to 795 of the family's 1533-position model. The record is from RNAcentral.
ACUACGGGCGGCAGCAGUGAGGAAUAUUGGUCAAUGGACGAGAGUCUGAACCAGCCAAGUAGCGUGCAGGAUGACUGCCCUAUGGGUUGUAAACUUCUUUUAUACAGGAAUAAAACGAGGCACGUGUGCCUUUUUGCAUGUACUUUAUGAAUAAGGAUCGGCUAACUCCGUGCCAGCAGCCGCGGUAAUACGGAGGAUCCGAGCGUUAUCCGGAUUUAUUGGGUUUAAAGGGGGCGUAGAUGGGUUGAUAAGUUAGUUGUGAAAGUUUGCGGCUCAACCGCAAAAUUGCAAUUGAUACUGGCAGGCUAGAGUACAGUUGAGGUAAGCGGAAUGCGUGGUGUAGCGGUGAAAUGCUUAGAGAUCACGAAGAACCCCGAUUGCGAAGGCAGCUUACUAAGCUGUGACUGACAUUGAGGCACGAAAGUGUGGGUAUCAAACAGGAUUAGAUACCCCAGUAGUC